GAUGAACGCUGGCGGCGUGCCUAAUACAUGCAAGUAGAACGCUGAAGGAGGAGCUUGCUCUUCUGGAUGAGUUGCGAACGGGCGAGUAACGCGUAGGUAACCUGCCUGGUAGCGGGGUAUAACUAUUGGAAACGAUAGCUAAUACCGCAUGACAACAGUUAUUGCAUGAUAACUGUUUAAAAGGGGCAACUGCUCCACUACCAGAUGGACCUGCGUUGUAUUAGCUAGUUGGUGAGGUAACGGCUCACCAAGGCGACGAUACAUAGCCGAACUGAGAGGGUGAUCGGCCAAACUGGGAAUGAGACAAGGCCCAGACUCCUAAGGGAGGCAGCAGUAGGGAAUCUUCGGAAAUGGACGGAAGGCUGACCGAGCAACGCCGGGUGAGUGAAGAAGGGUUUCGGAGCGGAAAGCUCUGUUGUAAGAGAAGAAAGAGUGGGAGAGUGGAAAGUUCACACUGUGACGGUAUCUUACCAGAAAGGGACGGCUAACUACGUG
RNAcentral lists this ribosomal RNA (495 nucleotides) under uncultured bacterium. Its description in RNAcentral is "partial 16S ribosomal RNA". It matches the Rfam family "Bacterial small subunit ribosomal RNA", at positions 28 to 507 of the family's 1533-position model. The record is from RNAcentral.